RNAcentral lists this ribosomal RNA (253 nucleotides) under uncultured bacterium. RNAcentral describes it as "partial 16S ribosomal RNA". It matches the Rfam family "Bacterial small subunit ribosomal RNA", at positions 524 to 776 of the family's 1533-position model. The record is from RNAcentral.
UACAGAGGGGGCAAGCGUUGUUCGGAAUUACUGGGCGUAAAGGGCGCGUAGGCGGCCUGCUAAGUCGAACGUGAAAUCCCUGGGCUCAACCCAGGAACUGCGUCCGAUACUGGCAGGCUUGAAUCCAGGAGAGGGAUGCGGAAUUCCAGGUGUAGCGGUGAAAUGCGUAGAUAUCUGGAGGAACACCGGUGGCGAAGGCGGCAUCCUGGACCGGCAUUGACGCUGAGGCGCGAAAGCUAGGGGAGCAAACGGG